RNAcentral lists this ribosomal RNA (508 nucleotides) under Chromadorea environmental sample. Its description in RNAcentral is "bacterial SSU rRNA". It matches the Rfam family "Eukaryotic small subunit ribosomal RNA", at positions 58 to 570 of the family's 1831-position model. The record is from RNAcentral. Lineage: Eukaryota; Metazoa; Nematoda; Chromadorea.
UGUCAGUACAUACCUAACAUGGUGAAACCGCGAACGGCUCAUUAUAACAGCUAUAAUUUACUUGAUCUUGAUAUCCUACUUGGAUAACUGUGGUAAUUCUAGAGCUAAUACAUGCAACAAAGCUCCGACUUCUGGANNGAGCGCAUUUAUUAGACCAAAACCAAUCGGCUUCGGCCGUAGUUUGGUGACUCUGAAUAACCUAGCUGAUCGCAUGGUCUCGAACCGGCGACAUGUCUUUCAAGUAUCUGCCUUAUCAACUUUCGAUGGUAGGUUAUGUGCCUACCAUGGUUGUAACGGGUAACGGAGAAUCAGGGUUUGACUCCGGAGAGGCAGCCUGAGAAACGGCUACCACAUCCAAGGAAGGCAGCAGGCGCGCAAAUUACUCACUCUCAGUUCGAGGAAGUAGUAACGAAAAAUAACGAAGAUGUACUCUAUGAGGCCAUCUAUCGGAAUGGGUACAAUUUAAACCCUUUAACGAAAGUCUAUGAGAGGGCAAGUCUGGUGCCAG